AGUUGCGGUUCUCGCAACGAGGAGCCCUAGACCCGGGGGAAAAAUUAUAAAAUAAUUUUUGGGACUCCAGAGAAGGGUUAUUGAGGUUCCUAUGGCAUUAGAAUGCCAAGAAAAUACCUAGAAAAAUUUUUCAAUCGGUACAGACAAUUUUGACCCGUUAAGCCAAACGGAGGGCAUUUUGGUCAUUUCGCCUUCCGAGGUGAUUUUUGGCCGACUUGUCCAGUUGAGUAAAUGAUUAAUAUGACAUAAAAUAUGAAGAAAUAUUGCUAGAAAUUAAAUUGAAAAUGAGUAGUGGAGGAAAGAAAAGAAAAUGCAAUAAAAUGCCCAUUUAUGACAUAAUGUGAUGUCAUUAAGAAAAUUUGGACCAAUCACCAUUUAGCCAUCCUUUGACUAACUAAAUAAAAGACUAAAUGAAGACUAAAACCACCAAAAUUUCCAGCAGCCCUCACCUUCACAAAUGCUCACCCGUAGCUCUCAAAUCCCAUAGCCAAACUUCCAUUGAUUUUCAACCAAAGCUCACUUUCUCUCUUCUUUUCACCAUAAACCCUAAACCCCUUUCAUUAAAAGUUGUCCACUCAUCUUAGGGAAGUGUUUGGCAGCCUAGAAAGUGAAGGAAAGUGAAGUUUUGAGUGGGGAAAAAUCUGCCCUAAUCAAGGUACUGGAGACCCCGAUCGUGAGCCCAGUAGACCACAGACUGGGUGAGGCCAUCCGACAGUUCUGCUUUGUGUCUGUGUCACCUCGUCACCUGCAGUGCAUUGGUAGGACACUAGAUGCCAUUUUGUCAUCUUGUAAUUAACUUUUUAUUUUCUCAUAUGUAUUUAGGAUUUAUGUAAUGUAUUUUGAGGUUCAUGUAAAUAAUAAAGAUUUAUGGUUAUGUAUGGUAUUAAUUUGAGUAUUUAAUGGUUGUUUAUGUAUGAGAACCCUGAGAAAGGGAUGUUUUGAAAACUGAAAAGGUUGUUGAGACCUGAAAUUGACAAAUUACCGAGAUAUUGAUAUUGAGUUUUAUUGA
Molecule: long non-coding RNA, 1009 nt
Organism: Hevea brasiliensis (rubber tree)
Lineage: Eukaryota; Viridiplantae; Streptophyta; Magnoliopsida; Malpighiales; Euphorbiaceae
Exons: 2
Source: RefSeq, a predicted model, not a curated record